This is a long non-coding RNA of Mesocricetus auratus (golden hamster), 3319 nucleotides long. RefSeq lists it as uncharacterized. NCBI's taxonomy places the organism in Eukaryota, Metazoa, Chordata, Mammalia, Rodentia, Cricetidae. The transcript has 2 exons. The record is from RefSeq and is a predicted model, not a curated record.
CAAUCUCCACUCUGAUCCCUCCUUGGGAGGAAUCUCCAGAGUCUGUCAUUUCAUCCAGAGUAGGGCCUAUGCCCUCCCACAAGAGUCCAGGCUGAGAGAGCAUUCCUCAUUGUGAGAUGGGGGAAAGGUACACUUUACCUCAGUGAACAAUGUAUGGUCUGCCUAGACAGUGAUGAGAAUAUUGUAGCUAGAUCUGAUGGCAAGUCUGUUGCAUUGAGAAAAACAUGAUGUUUGGCAGAUAGAGCCAUUGCAUGAUGUGUCUGUUCUCCAAAACAUUAUGGUACACAUAAUGGUACUGUAUCUGCCAGAUAGAAUGAAAUGAAAUGUGAUCAAAGAGUCAGGAACUAUAUUUUAGGUAUUUCCUGCCACCUAAAAAUGCUGACAGUAAUAUGCAAUGACAGAGAAUGUUAGAGCCCUUUAAUACCCUUUCUCAGGAAGUGAUUAUCUGGGAUUUGGACCAUGUCUUUUUAUAUUGGGGCUGAUUUUCUAGUUAUCUGGAGAACCAACAGUCCUCCCCUGCCCUGGAUGAAUAUGGAAGCCCUCCUUUUCCUGAGUCUGUCCCUAAAAACUGCACACUUGAUUCCAUAUGGAGUACAGAGUGCUGAUUUUUUCCUUUAUGAGACUCUCUUGUCUCAAGGCUGCAUCAUGGAUUUUGGCCUCUUCCUUCUAUAAACCUCAUUCCUGUAGGGUCACUAUUGUCAUCUGCCCUUAGUGAUGCAACCUCAGCCAAUAAUUGCCUCUUCCUAACUCCAUUUAGAGCCCUUCCUAUCUCAAGGUCCUCUGUGAAGAUAGUUUGGACUUUAUGCAUUGACACGGAGCAGUUCUUUUGUGUGGUGCAUAUAUUAUCUACUUGUGUAAAGGCAACAUGCUGAGUGUUUUACUAUCUCAGAUACUAUUAGUUCUCUUGAACUUUUCUGGUCUCUGUUGCUUUGUAUUCCACGAGGUCUCUUUGUCAUUUUUCCUGUUUGGUUUCUGUGUUUCUGGAACCACUUUCUGACACUCUUUGCUUAUUUCUGUGGUAUAAGACAUUUAAUCAUGCUUUUCUCUGGUACUAUCAGAAUUUCAAGUUUUCCCGGAGAGUGUUUGAAAUAAUGUUGUUAAAUUCUAACUUUAAUCUUGGUGGUCUGAUAAGAUACAUGGAGUUAUUCCAACUUUUUUGUACCUGUUGAGGUUUGAUAUGUUGCCAAGUAUGGGGUUGAAAUAAUUGGCAUUGAUUUUUGUAUAGGAAGAGACAGAUGGGUCUUAUGACACUCUUCUGCACAUGGACAAUUGUUUCCCUAGCACUGAAUGUUCAAAGGGUAUCUGAUGCUGCAACAACAAAUGGCACACUUACUGAAAGUAUAAGUAAGUGGGCCUGGCUAGUGAUGUAGUUCCCUGACUACGUCUGUAUACGUCUUUAGUCAUGCCUAAAGUGGGUGUGGUUAGCGGUGCGGUAAACUGCCCUUUUAUUACCUCAUCUGUAUGCGCCUCUAGUAAGUCACAUGGAUAAUGGCAGAGCACUAUUUUCUCCUACAGGUAUCUAACUUUCUGGGUUUGUCUUUGACAUAUUUGGCUUACAUUACCUUUCUGGUAUAUGUUUAUUUCUGGGUUCUCCGUGUCGUGCAAAGUACUACAUGGAUCUUCAUGUGCAGGAUCACUCUGUCCUUGUACUCAUGCUUACAUGUUGUGAUGUGUGGUCAGGUCCUGUGACAUCCUAGGAUUACUCUCUCUUAGGAUGAAUUUUGAUAGUUUUGAUUUUCUUGUGUCCACCUUACUCUUUCCAUUUCCAUGUUUGUGGAAAAUAACAGUAUUUUGCUUCUAUGGUUUGCAUUGAUUCUGCUGGUUGCUGUUAAUAUAACCAUUUACAUUAUGCUGUUUGUCAGUCAGUGUGCAUGGAAAUCUUUUCUUUGUGUUUAUGGAGCAGUUUUUUUUGUUCUGAGUGCCUUAAAAGUUUCCUCAUAGAAGUUAAUUCGUUAUUACUUAGCAUCAUUCCUAAGUCUUCUGGGAAGCAAUUUGAUAGGGUUAAAUUUCUAACUUCUCAAAUUGUCAUUAUUGGACACAUAGAGGAAGUAGUAACCCGUGUGUUUCUUUUUGUAUUUUUCAAUAAUACUUAAAGGACUUAUCAAGUCUAAGAUUUCCCCACGGUAUCUGUGUUGCAUUGUGUAUAUGACCCCAUAAUCACAUAAUAAUUUUAAUGGAGCUUGAAAUUUGGCUUUCCUCCUUUGUUCUUUGUAUCCUUUGUCUUAUUCAGAUAUGUCUAGCAAACGCUUAUGAGUCUUGAUUCAGUAAGGAAGAGAACACAAGCAUCUUCCUCACCUUGUAAGUUUUCUGGCCUUGCUGUUCAUUUUUUCUCUGUACUUGGCCUAGAUGUGACAUACAUGCGCUUUACUGCGUUCAUCCAUGCUCUAUUUCUUCCGAGUUCCUUUCGGAAUUUAUCUCCAGAUUUUGUUGAAUUUUGUGUUAUGAUGUUUAAAUUUUUCGGAGAUUUUCAUAUCACAGGGCCUCUUUUUAUUAUGUUUUCUUUCUUUUAUUAUUCUGGGUGGUUAAUUAUUGGUAGUAUUUUUCCCUCCACAUUGAAAUAGCAGGUUGCUGUGUUUUUGUGUUGGACACGGUUGCUACUCCUCCACUCUAUUCUAUUUGUCUAUUCUUUAGAUAUGUCUUUUUCCCAUGUUCUUGUUGAUAGUUUCUCCAAGUUUUCUAUGUAUAUUUUGUCUUUAAUUAUGAUCUGUAGUGCUGCUUGACUGCUUGACCUGUGUUAUUUCAUAACUUUAUUCAGGUGAACUUCCUUCUCCAUGAACUUUAAGAGUCUAUGCUUCUGGAUGCAAUGUUAAUGUUCAUAGUUAUUUUUGUUUUUCACUUAAAAUAUAUUCUUCCAUGCCUUCCUGCCUGUAUGGAUGUUGACAAGACCUUUAAUAUCACUCUGUGUUUUGGGUCUUUUUAUAUAGUUUGUUGUUGUUUGUAAGAAACUGUACUAAUUUUAGCUUCGUUUUCUUUUUCUUUGGAACCUUUUUGUGAGAUGCCAAGAAGAGUUCUGUGUCUGUUCCUGAGAAAGAAAUUCAGAGAAGAGCAAUAGGAAGAAUGGAAGAUUCUCCUGUAAAUGCACCCCAGGGUCUGUUGACAUUCUGGGAUGUGGCUGAGCUCUUCUCCAGGACAGCUUUGUACAUGGAUGUGAUGUUGGAGAACUACAGGAAGAUAAUCUUUGUAGGCAAGAAUAUUCUUCUUACAGGAUUCCUGACUCGUCCUUUAUAUUUACCCGCUUUGUACAUUUGUAAACUCCCGGAGUUGUUAGAGAAUCCUGGAAACAAGGGGGAUUCUGGAAAUAAACAUAUUUUUUUCAUGG